Non-coding RNA from Camelina sativa (false flax), 801 nucleotides. Lineage: Eukaryota; Viridiplantae; Streptophyta; Magnoliopsida; Brassicales; Brassicaceae. The record is from RefSeq and is a predicted model, not a curated record.
UAAGGAUAUAUUUAACAUUUGUUUUUCUCUUAACAGACGCUAUAAUAAGAAGUUUUUUCACAACUUUACAGUGGAAGAUAGAGAUAGCAUCAGUUAAGACUUUUAGAAGAAGGAAAAAUUCAUUGUUUUACUAACAUCAAUUUGUCAGAUAUAUUGAAGCCUGGAUUUGGUGGAAGUUAACAGAGACGUAUUAAUACCAUAAGAUUCAUUGCAAUGGAGAAUAGUUAUAUAAGUGAAGAUUUUUUACCCAAGGAAGUUGAUGAUUCAAUAAGUGAAGACACAGCUUCAGUUUAUGAAUCUGAAGAAGAAGAAGAAGAAAAUAACAUAGCCAACAAUGAUAAUUAUGUCCACGCUGAAGAGGUUGUUGUUUUAGAAGCAAACAAAAAAAAUGAGCUGCAGCAUGAACUAUGUAUUGGCAUGGAGUUUAGCUCUGAUGAGACUGCAAGUAUAGCUUACAAAAAGUAUGCAGGCAAUCAUGGUUUCGACGUAAGAAAACAACGAAGGUGCAAAAAAAAAGGUAAGGUAGUAAGGCUUCGUUGAAGAAUUUGUUUGAGCUUAAAGAAAAAUGGGCAAUGGUUUAUGGACGUCAUACUUUUACAGCAGAUAUGGUGAGCACACAACAUAGUGAAAGUAUGAAUAAUAUUUUGAAAAAAUAUUUAAAGCGUAGUUAUAAGUUGUUGUGCUUCUUUGAACACUAUGAGAGAGUGUUGGAGGAUCGACGAUAUAAGGAAUUAAUUGCUGACUUCAAUAUGAUGCAUACCUCGCCGGUUUUAUGUGCUACUGUAGAGAUGUUGCAACAUG